This 53-nucleotide unclassified non-coding RNA is filed under the name Flavobacterium haoranii. RNAcentral's name for it is "Flavo-1 RNA". The record is from RNAcentral. Lineage: Bacteria; Pseudomonadati; Bacteroidota; Flavobacteriia; Flavobacteriales; Flavobacteriaceae.
UUUUAGCCCCGACAGUAGCUAACUACCGUGUAGUGCGAAUGGCGGGAAUUACA